UUACCGGCGUACAGCCGCUAGCAAAAAUGUUUUGCUAGCAGAAAUUUUCUUAUCGGUUUCAUACGAAUAUCUUCCCUAAAUUAGCUCGUGUACACUUAUUUCGUGAAUACUAUGACGUUUUUUCGGUAUAUUUCUGAGGGUCAGACCGUAGAUGUUGACAAUAAAUCCGCGGUCACACUGCUAGACUGCAUUCAUCAAUUAUUUAUUAUGGCAUUUCUCCGAUUUUCAAAUGUUUGCUAAAUAAUUUGAUUGAAGCCACCGCAGGAUAUCUAAUGAAAGUGCUGAUCACGUGCCCGCUACGAGAGCUAUUUACUCAGUGCAAUAAAAUCGCAACCAAGGACGGGGGAAAACCGCAAGCCAGACAGACAUUUUCUCCCACUUUACAAGCGCCUAGAGAGACGCCGAAUAUUCCGCAACACCGCAAGAGGGACAGAGUCUUCCGCAAAGAAACAUGAAAUGGACAAUGCCCUCGGCCAUUAGCGGCGCUCCGCACGGCCAAGUGCACAUACCCAGCAACGAGGAGUGCGGCAUCCGAGACGUGUGGAAACAUAACCUGGAGGAGGAGUUUCGCACCAUACGCAAGGUCGUGCAGAAAUAUCAUUAUGUGGCCAUGGACACAGAGUUUCCCGGCGUAGUGGCGCGACCCGUUGGCGAAUUUCGAUCCACCGCCGACUAUCACUAUCAGUUGCUGCGCUGCAAUGUGGAUCUGCUGAGGAUCAUUCAGCUGGGUCUGACCUUUAUGGACGAUGAUGGCAAGACGCCUCCAGGAUACUCCACGUGGCAGUUCAAUUUCAAAUUCAAUCUAAGUGAGGACAUGUAUGCCCAGGACUCGAUCGAUUUGCUGCAAAACUCUGGAAUACAGUUCAAGAAGCACGAGGAGGACGGCAUCGAUCCAAUUGAAUUUGCCGAGCUGCUCAUGAGCUCGGGCAUUGUGCUGGUAGACAACAUCAAGUGGCUGUGCUUUCACUCUGGCUACGAUUUCGGCUACCUGCUCAAGCUGCUCACUGACCAGAAUCUGCCCUGCGACGAGGCUGACUUCUUCGAGCUGCUGCACAUCUACUUCCCCAACAUCUUUGACAUCAAAUAUCUGAUGAAGUCGUGCAAGAAUCUAAAGGGAGGCCUUCAGGAAGUGGCCGAUCAGCUGGAACUGCGUCGGGUCGGACCCCAACAUCAGGCUGGCUCUGAUGCCCUGCUCACUGGCAUGGCAUUCUUCAAAAUGCGUGAGAUCUAUCUUGGCGUAAAUUUCGAAAAAAUGCAUUUUUUGUAUACUUAUUACGGCGUUGGCUUUAGUCCUUAAAUAAUAACCAAAGACUGCAGAAUUGUACACUAUUAUACGAUACCCUCAAGACUAAAAGAUACAAAUUAUUAAAACAAGAAAUAAUCAGAUCAGAUCGGUAAACGAUGUUCUUUGAAGACAAUAUCGACCAUGCCAAGUAUUCAGGACAUCUGUACGGCCUGGGCACCUCGUUCAUCGUGAACGGCAACAACUUCCAC
RNAcentral lists this unclassified non-coding RNA (1494 nucleotides) under Drosophila pseudoobscura pseudoobscura. RNAcentral's name for it is "GA19054". The record is from RNAcentral. Lineage: Eukaryota; Metazoa; Arthropoda; Insecta; Diptera; Drosophilidae.